Molecule: ribosomal RNA, 407 nt
Filed under: uncultured prokaryote
Also listed under: 1 other name
Description: bacterial SSU rRNA
Rfam family: Bacterial small subunit ribosomal RNA
Source: RNAcentral
UGGGGAAUAUUGGGCAAUGGGGGAAACCCUGACCCAGCAACGCCGCGUGAAGGAAGAAGGCUUUCGGGUUGUAAACUUCUUUUAAGAGGGACGAACACAAUGACGGUACCUCUUGAAUAAGCCACGGCUAACUACGUGCCAGCAGCCGCGGUAAUACGUAGGUGGCGAGCGUUGUCCGGAAUUACUGGGUGUAAAGGGCGUGUAGGCGGGAAAGUAAGUCAGAUGUGAAAUACCGGGGCUUAACUCCGGGGCUGCAUCUGAAACUGUUUUUCUUGAGUGUCGGAGAGGAAAGCGGAAUUCCUAGUGUAGCGGUGAAAUGCGUAGAUAUUAGGAGGAACACCAGUGGCGAAGGCGGCUUUCUGGACGACAACUGACGCUGAGGCGCGAAAGCGUGGGGAGCAAACAGG